CUGGAAUAGUUGUCAGCCCGUCAGAGACCAAGCAACGGGUUUCCGCUUGGCCCUCGUCUUCUUCGCCGACAACCGGCAUCUCAUCCCGUAGUCCUGUGCACGAAGCCGCGAACCGACGAAUCCCCUUGUCCCCGCGCGAGAAUCCGAGCCGCUUCCGUUUGCAAUAUCCUUCCAUCGUCGCCUCCCCCGCUCCAGCACCCAGACCUGCAAGUUUUGACUCUCCUCGCAGCUUAAUCUUCUCUCGAUUUGCUGAAUCGGACGACCAGAGUUUCAGUUGAUACGUGAUACUGAAGCAGAUGCUUCUGCAUGUGCCUACUGUCCGUUGGCAACGCUGUACUUCGUACAACAUGUAUUCUCAAUCUAGUCAGUUACAGGGAAGGUUGACAGAAAGAGUGGCCUUUUGGAAUGCUUCUUGUUCACAAGCAGUGAGGAAUAGGAGCCACGCAAUAAUAGGUUUAGUUAGUUUUUCUGUUAAGAAGAGUGUAAAGUCAUAUGACCUGCAAAGUACAACAUGCUUUGUCAGUUUGGGGCAACAGUUGCAAUGCCGAGUAUCAAUGAGAGGCCAUAUUCUAAAUGUAAAGUUUGAUAUGCCCCCACAUCAAAAGUUCUCUAGUAUAAGCUGGAAUUUGGGAAGUAUUCCACGGAAAACAGGAGGUACAGCAUCUGGACUAGGCUUUGUACUGUCUGGGAUGGCGAAUGAUGAGGGUCUUGUGGACAAUAAUAUUGAUAGCACCCAACCUAUUGAAUCUUCGACGAAUUCAGCUCAUGGAAAGAAAGUUUACACAGAUUAUUCUGUAACUGGCAUUCCCGGAGAUGGAAGAUGCCUAUUCCGCUCUGUGGCCCAUGGUGCAUGCAUUAGAUCAGGUAAACCCAUUCCUAAUGAGGAUCUUCAGAAAAGAUUAGCUGAUGAUUUGAGAACAAUGGUUGCUGAUGAAUUUAUCAAGAGACGAGUAGAGACUGAAUGGUUUGUUGAGGGAGACUUUGAUACGUAUGUCUCUCAGAUUAGGAAGCCACAUGUGUGGGGAGGUGAGCCAGAGUUAUUCAUGGCUUCACAUGUUCUUCAGAUGCCCAUUACUGUAUACAUGCAUGAUAAAGAAGCAGGCGGUUUAAUAGCAAUUGCUGAAUAUGGCCAACAGUACGGGACAGAUGACCCUAUCCAAGUUCUUUAUCAUGGUUAUGGCCAUUAUGACGCUCUGCAGAUGCCGGGAAAGAGUGGUCCGAGGUCAAAAUUGUAACAUUUGGAGCUCAGAAGCCAAAUGGUGUGUUCUGGAGCGAUGCCUUCUUCAUCGAUACAUAUAUUUGCGAAUAUAAUCAGAGUUUGAGAAGUGAAGCACGGGCAUGAGGUUGAUCCAGCUCAAUGCUGCAAUGGUCGUCUUUGUUGGCAAAGAGCAGAUGACCAGAAUUUAACAUAAUCCUUUCGCAUGCCUGCAGCUGAUGAAGGAACAACGAUUGACUCGACUCCCGAUCUCCAGAUGCUCCCCAGUUCUGAAACGACCGGUCGGUUUUAGAGGAACCGAGCCCUGCCCAUCGGUCCUCCGCAAAAGUACAAAACUCCGUUGUUGAUUUCGUGUUAUGAUUGUUGCAAAGUCGGUGGAGAAGGCUACCUAUACAGUUUGAUGCUCUGUUUCAGACAAAAGCUAUGAACUUGUAGUUGAAACCAGAGAAGUCCACCGUUCAAGAUUUAACAGCUGGCUCCUGUAACAGCUCUAGAUUUCAAUUCAGAGUGCUUUCUUUUUUU
Molecule: RNA transcript, 1738 nt
Organism: Phragmites australis (common reed)
Lineage: Eukaryota; Viridiplantae; Streptophyta; Magnoliopsida; Poales; Poaceae
Gene name: OVARIAN TUMOR DOMAIN-containing deubiquitinating enzyme 4-like
Exons: 7
Source: RefSeq, a predicted model, not a curated record